GAAAAGCUUCGGCAAUUUGGCGUGCGCAAGCGCACGCGACUGCUACCGAUUAUAUCCGAAACCGUGUCGCCUUUUUGUUGGUUGAUGACCAUUUGCGUCGGCGGCGAAACCGGAAUAAAAGCGAUUCCAUCUGAGUUCUCUUUACAGAGAUCGACAGUCGUUAGAAUGAAAAUCGAUCGAUCUUAAAUGUUUCUUUAUGUCUUCAUUAAUCAUACAGACCAAUGUUCUAUUGACCAUAGUAAGUACUAAAGACGGAAGAGGCUUGUUAUCGUAGAAACCAGAGGGGUCGAGUGUAAGGAGUUCCCAAAGGAAUUGGCCGCGACGAAAGUCGACGACUCGUGGGAAAGUUAAGGGGCGCCAACCGUUUUUGAAACGGAGAAUACAUAGCAGCACCAAGAGACGCUGGGGGUGGACAUGUAAUUGAUACGCUUCGCAGGACCGUGUUUGAAUUUCAUUAAGGCCCUAAUGCCACCUCUGGAUCUAUUCCGCUUCACUGGUUCAUCCACUCGAACGAUCAGGAAUCCACUGACCAGACACUUUGUCGCUCUUUCUUUCUCCUCUGGCGACAGUCUCACGAUUCAAAAGUGCAUCGGUUCUUGAGCUUCUUCUGAAGAAUUAGCUUCCGUGAACGCGCGAAAUUUGCAUGGGAAAGUUCAAGAGAUAAGUCAGGAGUUUUUGCACGCAACUUUCAGAGAUUGAGUUACAUUUUUGUGAAAUUUUAACAAAACUUGCAAUAUUAUUUUUUGAAUAAUAUUAAAGCAAGAAAUCUAUUCGAUGUGGGAUACAUUACUUGAUAAAUCAUGUCAAGAAUUUCACUAUCUAAUCAAUUUAAAUAUCUAUAUAUAUAUUUUUGAAAAUGAUGUAUAGAAACUAGGAAAGAAAUAAUCUGGAAGAAAUUAAAGAUUAAAGAAAAAAUAAAAAUUCUAAAAGAUUAAAUAAUGAAAUACAAAAUGUUUGUCAGGACAAUUGUUAAAUAUGCUAAUAUUUAAAUUAUCUGUCUAAAUAUAUAUUUACAAUAUGAUUCACGAUAACCUGACAUCCAAAAUCAUGAAAAAGAAAAUAGAAAAAAAAAUAAUUUACCUCAAUAAACUAUCUAUCAAAUCGAACAGAUAUCAUGAUCGAUUCUUCUCGAAAACAGCGGCUCGUUCCCCAGAGAUCUAAGCGACCGACGUAACCGUCACGAUCGAACCCUCCGGUUUUCGAUUCGUGAACGAGAAACGAAAAUAAGGAAAGAGAGAAAAGAAGAGAGAAGGAAGUCUGUCGAAAAAGGAUCGCUGUGUGUGCUCCUCGCGGAAAAAAAGACAAGUCCACCACUGUGGGAGAUCGCGUACGCAGGGUGCAGUCCAGUCGAGAAGUCGUGAGAGUAAACCUGACGAGCGAGAGAAGGACGAACAGAAUCACCUGCGGUGCACCUGCUGUGCAGGGGGCUCCUUCAGUCCCGUAUUAAAAGUGUAUCAGACCUUCUCCUCCUCCUCCAUCUCUUUUCCCUUCUUCUUCUUCUUCUUCCUCUUCUUCUUCUUGUUCUUCUCUGCUUCAUCUCUUUCUUCUCUGUUUCAUUCCUUGAUCCUCUUCAUAUUCUUUUUUUUCUUCUCAUUCUUCGAUUCUCUUCUCUUCUUCUCAUUCUUUGAUUCUCUUCUCUUAUCUCUUACGAUAUCCUUUGCUUUUUCCACAUUUACUCUUUCUUUUUUUUCUAUUCUAUUCGCUUCAUCCUUUAAUCUCUUCAUUAUCCUUUAUUCUUAUUCUCUCUUUAUUUCUUUUUCUUCUCAUUUUUCUCUCCUUCAAUUUCCUUCAUUCUUAUUCUCAUUCUUCUUCCUCUUUUUAUCCAGGUCAUUUUUCUUUAUUAUUUUUUCUUCGUUUAUCAUGAUCCAUUUAAUUUCAUUUUAAUUUCAUAAUUUUUCCAUUCCAAAAUAUGGAAUUCUACUCUCAUAAUAAUUGUUUCAGUUCGAUUUUUGGUUUUUGCUGGAAAUGUGAUCUAAGAAUGGGCAUGAUUUUUUCCAUGCAUUUUUUUAAUUAAUCCAGGACGAUUUAAAAGGGACAAGUCUGUCGAUUGAAUGUAUUGACCAAAACGAAGUCAAGGGUAAUUACAUAAUAAUUACAUAAUUGAACGAUUGCUAUUCACGAUCACAGGUAUGUACAAAGUAGUUUCUUCUGACGCAAUCUCGUUGUUCUCUCAUUCCUCUUUUCACCCAUUUUCAUUCUCGAAGACGCUUAGUUACGUUUCGCAACGGUGGUCGUCGUUUUAUAACUGUGCCUAUCUAAGAAAUCUCUGCAUUGAGGGAGCAUUAUCCGUUCUCUUCAUUUCUCAAUGUCGCGCGCCAACUUUACGUCGAUUCGAUACGUAAUUUGUUGAUGUUUUUCAUUUCUGUGACAAAUAAACACCACGAGAUACUUUGAAGAUAAACUUGUUGAAAACGAUUGUGGUAGAAUUAUUUGUGAGAAUUCGUAUCUUAUUUCUAUUUUCUGUAUAACAUAAUAAAACAUCAUCAUUAUAUUAUUGGAUUGAAUAUUUUUAGUAUAUUAUAUGAGUCAUUUAAAUCCUUGAUCCUGAAUAUUUUCGAAAUUAUUUAAUCCUUUAUGAAGUUUCUGACACAAUAUUAUAUUUUUCUAGAAUUUUUUUUCUGAUUUUUCUUUGAUGUAACAUUUCAUGCAUUAAAUUCUACUUUGAAUAUAUUCAUGAAUUUUAACAUUUCUGUUAUUAUAUUUACCACUUAUAUUAAGUAUUUUAUUACUAUAUACUAAUGAAUUUUAUUCUAUCUAAUUAAAUUGAAUAAGGGACUCUAGAUUAAUUAAAGAAAAAAAUUGAAAUUAAUAUAAGAGCUGAAAGACAGGUUGCUUUCUUUUUCUUACAGUUACUAAUUCGUAGAAAGGUGCGGGCGCCUCCUUGGAGACAGAGGUGAGAGAGAAGGUGGUGGUGAAGAAGGUCAAAGCGAUUUUCCCUCUAACGGACGAGCUAGAGAGGAGUCGUGGCGGUGAGAGAGCCGCGGUCGCAUUUGUUUCACGGCAGCCAGCAGGAGCAGCAACGGCCAACAGGUGUAUAGCAGGUGCACACCCCGAGCGGCAUCGAGAGUGCCGUGGAGAGCUAAAAAGUUUCACGUCCACCUGAAGGUCCCACACGAGAAACCGGCCGACUUUCAACCGUCGUUUUCUUCAGCGCCACCACCCCUCGACUCCCACCCCACGUAGCCCGCACUCGCCAUGUAUAUACGUUUGUCGAAUGAACAAACGGACGAUGAAACCAACGAACUAACUCGUUGUUACCUUCUUGCGACAGCAUAAUGUUAUACGGUUGAGAAAGAAACGGUAGAACCCACUUCCCAAUAUUUCAAACCGAAUUCUUGAGGCCUUAAGGUCGUUGUCCUAAUCAUCAAUUAGCCACGUGAACACAUAUCUGUAUCCAUUUAAAAGCAUAACAAAAAAAUUAUAACUAAUUCCAAUUGGCUAUACAUAAGUGUGGAUAAGAUAUCAUAUAUGGAUGUUUUGAUAAAACAGAGGUAAUCAAUUAUAUUUUGAUUAUUACAAUAAUUGAAAGUAUCAAUUAUUGAAAGUAAUAAUAAUUAUCAUAAGGAAUAACCUAAUAAUAUUGCACAAUAUUAUACAUUAUAUGUAUGCAUAUUCAUUGUGAUUAAAACUGAAAGAAGAUUUGAUACAGCUUUUCAAAAAGGAAGUAGAAGAUGAAUAAGAAAAUCUCCAUAAAAACCAGAAGAAUUAAAUGAGAAAUGUGAUCUAUUUAGUGUUGGGGCGAAGAAAAGAAAUUUUUUGGACGAAUAAAAAAGAAAAAAAACUUUAAGAAAGACAAAGAGAAUCAAUGAAGAAGUAAAAAAUAUAAUAGGCGAGGAAAAGAAGAUUCAAAGAUAAAGAUAAAGGGAAGAAAAUCUCGAUGAAAACCGGAAGAGUGGAGAAGAAUAGAAGAGGGAUGGAAGAAGACACGUGGAAGAAGGUGCCAGUCGGAGAGAAGCACCUGCGUCUCAUUAUCGAUCAUCUAUCGAACGAGGCCUCCAGUCGGGGGCUAUCCUCGAAAUCACUAUGCGCCGCUAUGUUUCCAACCGUUGAAAAUCCACCCUGUGUCGUGGCUGAUGUCAGGUGCUUCUUCCUGGACGGCAAGUGCAGGCGGCGCGAGGUGCUUUUUCGAUUUAAUGACACGUUGUCCCACACAAGCGUGGCAACGUACACGCGCCCUAUGCUUAUACCUUUCUUCUCUUUGCUCCUCUUCCCGGAUUUCCGUUUCCAUUCCGUUUCGUUCGCCGUUACCAACCACCGUUUGAAUCAAUCGAGAAAGAAACUUCUGGCGAACGCGAUGGCGCGCGAAUAACGAACGAUUAAUAAAGUUAGCAAAGAAUUAUUUUUGUUUAAAGAUCAAAUUAAUAUAUAUCUAUAUAUAGAUAUAUAUUUCUACUAAACAUUUAAUAAUGUUGAAAAUUUUUACAAGCGAUUAAUUAAUUAAUUAAUAUUUUUCUUCAUUUAUACUUCAAUUUCAAAGUAAAAAUAAGUAAAAAAUUUGUCUCUCUUCAAUUAAAACAAGUAAAAAACUUUCGUAUUAUGCAAGUGAAAGUUAAUUAACAAAUUUCUACUUGCAAUAUGUAGAACUGAAAUAAAUUAAUAAUUAAGUAGAUAUAAUGAUAUAUAUUUUAAAAUUUAUUUAAUUGCAAUUGCAUAUAUUUAAAUUUAUUUAAUAAUUCAUGGAUAUAAAUAUAUAAUAUAAAUGGAAAUAUAUUAUAUAAUAAAAAUCGAUCGAAAAACUAUACAUAGUUAUAUAUUAAAUAAAUUAUAUGAUUAAAAAUUAAUGUUUCAUACAAAUAUACAAAUAUACGUCAAAUAUAUAAUAUCUAUUUUAUUAAUAUCAGAAUAUCUAUUAUAUUAGAUAUAUAUUUACCUCUAUAUUAAAUAAUUAUUAAAUAUUAUUUUUGUAUAAUAAUUUAACUUUUAUUUAUACAUUAGAUGUAUAUUAUACCAUUUACAUUAACUAAUUGUAUUAAUUUGCAUUUUCUAAUUAAUUACUUUCAAGUAUAUUAUACUCCAUAUCAUUUCUUAAUAUUUCCACAUAGCAGUCAAUAAAUUUGAUACCAUGAAA
Long non-coding RNA from Apis cerana (Asiatic honeybee), 5068 nucleotides. RefSeq lists it as uncharacterized. The record is from RefSeq and is a predicted model, not a curated record. Lineage: Eukaryota; Metazoa; Arthropoda; Insecta; Hymenoptera; Apidae.